This is a long non-coding RNA of Cylas formicarius (sweet potato weevil), 434 nucleotides long. RefSeq lists it as uncharacterized. Lineage: Eukaryota; Metazoa; Arthropoda; Insecta; Coleoptera; Brentidae. The record is from RefSeq and is a predicted model, not a curated record. The transcript has 2 exons.
GGUUGUCGCUGACGGCUCGCGGGGUUAUCGGUUUGUCGGGUCGUCAGGGACGGCCGAAGUCGUCGCCGCCGCUACGUCUUUGGGUCGGGGAAGCAGGGGUGGUUGGGUUGGUGGGGGAGGUACUGGGGUCUAUUUCCUCGUCGACGGAAGAUUUUCCCGUAACCUGAUUUUGUCGCAUUUAUUGCGCCUCUUCCCACAAUUCUGCCAAGUUUUUCCGUCUACUGCAAUUUUCUGCCUACCAACGAGAGCCACGCUUCACCCCGUGGUAGUCGUCCUAGGAGGAGGACGGCGACCGGCAACUGCUCGAAAGAACGAACACGUCUUCCCGCCAGACGUUUCGGUGCCCGCGCGUCACUACGCCAUCAGUAUUAAAUGACGUUGUAAAAUAUUUAACGCAAUUGAGGGCAGUUGUUAAUAAAGUUUGUUUUUAGAAA